UAGGGAAUCUUCGGCAAUGGGGGGAACCCUGACCGAGCAACGCCGCGUGAGUGAAGAAGGUUUUCGGAUCGUAAAGCUCUGUUGUUAAGGAAGAACGAGUGUGAGAAUGGAAAGUUCAUACUGUGACGGUACUUAACCAGAAAGGGACGGCUAACUACGUGCCAGCAGCCGCGGUAAUACGUAGGUCCCGAGCGUUGUCCGGAUUUAUUGGGCGUAAAGCGAGCGCAGGCGGUUAGAUAAGUCUGAAGUUAAAGGCAGUGGCUCAACCAUUGUAGGCUUUGGAAACUGUUUAACUUGAGUGCAGAAGGGGAGGGUGGAAUUCCAUGUGUAGCGGUGAAAUGCGUAGAUAUAUGGAAGAACACCGGUGGCGAAAGCGGCUCUCUGGUCUGUAACUGACGCUGAGGCUCGAAAGCGUGGGGAGCGAACAGG
Molecule: ribosomal RNA, 429 nt
Filed under: Bacteroidota bacterium
Lineage: Bacteria; Pseudomonadati; Bacteroidota
Description: Bacteroidetes bacterium partial 16S ribosomal RNA
Rfam family: Bacterial small subunit ribosomal RNA
Source: RNAcentral